Non-coding RNA from Pelobates cultripes (western spadefoot toad), 433 nucleotides. The record is from the annotation of a GenBank genome assembly. NCBI's taxonomy places the organism in Eukaryota, Metazoa, Chordata, Amphibia, Anura, Pelobatidae.
UUGUGCUGUAACCUCUUCCAAGUCUAGUUGCUAUGUCAAAUUUCUUAGAUCUCUGUACUUUCCUGCUGUUAGGAAUAUGACAGUGCAGAUGCUGUACACUCACUGUUCACCCGCUGCAAUCCUGUUCGACCCCAGACGCCGGCAACACACGGAUAGGUGUUUCUCCCUUAUCUAAAUCUAAGCUGCCUUCUCCCAGAAGUCGAUCACUCCGGUCUCUCUGGUCACCUCCAACUGCUCCAAGUGUAUAGCUCACAGCUCAAUAUUGGGAGACGGCCAUUCAAUCGGGUGUUUUAGCGCGUCAUGAAUGCUCUCCUGCCUUCAGUUGCGGUAAGUCUCCUCCUUCAGACGUGCACGAGCCCGUGCGUCACUUCAUCACGUUCUGCUUUGAGCAACACUUUUGAUGAUGUCAGUCAUGUGUUUGGCUUGUUCUGGC